AUAAUAUUUGCAAAGUAACAGUAAAAUUUUAUGGUUCGUGUAGAAAGAGUGCCAUGAUUUCUAUCCGUUGAAAACCACUUGCAACAUUGACUCUUUGGGAGUUUUUAAUUAGAUAUAAGAAGAUGUGGUAUGAGUGCCAAUGCUAAAUUUCUGUCCACAUAAAGUGUACCCUCAUUUUCAAGUGAAAGUCCAAAUGUCACAACAUUCAUCUGGAUCUAUACUGAUUACAAAACCUAUACCUAUUGUAUUUAUGAUUAGUUUGUUCUCUUCCCAAACAUGAAUGACAUAUUCGCCACAGUACUACAUAAAUCCAAGAUGAGCAAUUAAUCAAUCAAGUCGAAACAGAAAGUAGAUUUCCAAAAAAACAUAUUUAAUUACGUAAUAAUAAUGUAUUCUAUUGUCACAUGCUGUAUACGCUGAAACCUGACAGCUAUGCAUGAGUGCCAUUCUUGUUAGUGAAACCUUUAUCAUUGCAUAUGAAGAAACAAAAACAAUUAUUUUUUAAAUUCACAAAAAACUUGCUUUAUUGACAAUAUGUAUACUUUCGAUUUCCAUUUUUUUUCUUACUACAAGCGUCUGUUUCGAUUACUAGUAUAGCAAUUAUUAUACAAUUUUUUCAUCGCAACAUGCGUUUUAAUCCCUUCUAACUGUGACUUUUACUCUAUUUCUAUACAUGUCUGUACAAUGCAG
RNAcentral lists this long non-coding RNA (690 nucleotides) under Mytilus galloprovincialis (Mediterranean mussel). The record is from RNAcentral. Lineage: Eukaryota; Metazoa; Mollusca; Bivalvia; Mytilida; Mytilidae.